This 480-nucleotide ribosomal RNA is filed under the name Litomosoides esslingeri. RNAcentral describes it as "partial small subunit ribosomal RNA". The record is from RNAcentral. Lineage: Eukaryota; Metazoa; Nematoda; Chromadorea; Rhabditida; Onchocercidae.
GGCUAUACAUUUUAAUAUUUAACUCUAUUUAUUGUUAUAUCCUCUUUUUUAUUUUUUUUUUAUUCUAUAUUUGUAAAAUGUUUUAGUUUUUGAUUUAUUUUGAGGAUGUAUAAAAUUUGGUGUUUGAACUGGAUUAGUACCCAGGUAAUCAAAGUUUAUUAAUUCGGGAGUAAAGUUUGAUUUAAACCGAAAAAAUAUUGACUGACCUUGGAUUUUUCUUUGGAAUAUGUGAUUUUUGGAUAGUCCUCCUUAUUAGUUAAUUUUGUUGGCGCAUGUAUGAUUGUUUAGUUUUUAUUUUAUUUGUAAUGCUUAUUAUGAUUUUUAUUUUAAAACAGAUAUAUAUUUGGCUUAUGGGUUGAUAUUUCAUGUGUUACUAUUAUUAAUUUUUUUUUGGAUUUUUUAUUAAUGUUUUUUUGAAAUUGGAAAAGAAAGUAAUUGAUUUUUUUAUGUUUGGAUGAAUUUAAUAAACAAGGUGGUACA